Molecule: long non-coding RNA, 2309 nt
Filed under: Gossypium raimondii (Peruvian cotton)
Lineage: Eukaryota; Viridiplantae; Streptophyta; Magnoliopsida; Malvales; Malvaceae
Description: long non-coding RNA (GRAI_LNC010252)
Source: RNAcentral
GAUUCCAGAGCAUCUAAAACAUAGACCUCUUCAGAUGCUCAUAUUGAAGCAAAGAAAAAUCUCCACAAAUCUGCUAAAAACCCACAAAAACCUGAAGGGGUCCUUCCCGAUUCAACAAAAAAUUCCUCACAAACACCAAACCUUAAAGAGACCCUUAAGUUGAAACUUCGAUUUCUUGACCAAAGAAGCUGAAUCUUCGCCUUAAGGUCACAAGGAGCACAAAUGUCGCAGAUCUGCCUCAACUGCCUUCUGCGCAAAGAGAGGAACCCCUCCAAAAAGAUAAUUAUCAUCUCUUUUUAAUCCCUCUGUAGCCGAAGAGUGUGCUGCACCAUUUGCAUGUUUUGGUACAUGAUGGAAAACACAUUUUUGAUAUCGUUCACAUAUUGUCUUUAUGUCGAAAAUGUAAGCCCCUAUCACUGAUCUUUCAAUUCCUUCUGCUUUCAGUUUUCGGAUCACAGCCAAAGAGUCACCCUCAAUCUCUACUCUUGGAAAACCCAACUAUAAGCCCAUCUUGCCCCCUCGACACACACCAUCGCUUCCGCUGCAAAAGGAGAAGGUAUAUUGACAUGCAUUAUAGCUUUUGACCAAAGAACAAUACCGGAAUCAUCCCGCAAAAUAAUCCCUGAGCACGAUUUGUUAUUUUGUUGACAAAAUCCUGCAUCAAAAUUUAUUUUGACAGAAUGUUUUUGUGGCAGUUGCCAGUAAACAAGAGGAACCUAACAGGUAGUUGGUUUUUCCUUCACACCAUCCACUUCACCCAAAAAUUUUUUAUAAAGCUCAUAAUCUCUGAUGCUGUAGACUUUUGACUUUCAUGCAAAAGCCUAUUGCGCAUAGUCCAAAUCCCCCACUUUGCACAGCAGAACACACGACAAGAAUACAGAGUUAUGGCCAAAAACUGGUGAACCCAAUCUAUAAUUGAUAUCUCAGUUGUCGCUGUUUGUCUCGCAAUACCAAGUUGACACCAAAUUUCCUUUGAAUGCAGGCAAACUUCUAAGGGUCACCGAGCAACCUACUUUCCAUCCAAAACUUAAGCCUCCUCUCGAACCUACUGCCCCCACAUCGACACCACAAAAAUAACCACAUUUCAUCCGCACCUUUUCCAUCCUACUAGUAGAAAUUUUUGUCUCCAUAAAAAAGAUAAGUUGAGUAUUGGGUAAUCGGGCCUGGGCCGUUUCUUACCCUCACCCACUUGAAUUGGAUUUUGCUCCAAAUCAUUUCCCAUAGUAUCGAAAAUCAAUCCACUACAAUCACCAUCUUUUGGUAACUCAUUCCUUUUCUAAAUUUACUCCUAAAAUAGGACUUUCAUAAUUUUCGCCAAUAGGGACACCCUCCCCUUCUUCUAGCAACCAGACACUUCUCCCCACGGCGGCGCCAUCAACGUAAGAUCCCAUACUUGCGGCUUCUCUUCACCACCAUAAUUGAGACGGAUUGGACAGAAACUAUCUCUAUGGCCUAAUACACCACAAACAAAGCAAAACAAGGAUGAUUUUGCAUUUUUAAAUUUUGCAUGCGUAGUUCUUGUUGGAGAGAUUAUCAGCUUUUUCUUCCUUUUCAAAGGUUUUCUCACAUCUAUCUGAACACGAAUUCUCAAGAAAUAAUUAUUCCUUAUUUUAACUAAAUUACAUAAUAUUUUCCAUAAUAUCAUAAUCUCUAACUAUAAUUAAUGGAUUAUAUCCUUACAAAUAUUGUUUAGUGAAAUAUUACAAAAAUUUCCAAACCACUAUAAAUAGGAGGCAUACAUUGGGUUUGUUAAGUAAAAAACCUAUCUUGUUUUCCUAAAUUGAAGAUAAUGUUGUGAUUGUUUUUAAUAUUACUGCUUUUUUACAUCAAACUAUUUUAAUCCUAAACCCUAAAACCCAAGAUUAUAAUUAAACUUAAACCAGUGCAUUAUCCACCGGAGGAGCUACUAACUGUGAUGCAAGAGGAUAGGGAUAAGCACACUAUUGGUCGAGAAAUUGUGCUGUAAAAUCUUUAGUUUUUGGCUUUCUCGUCAAUUUUUUAAAUGCAAUAUUAAUACUAGUCCUAUAUCCAUCAACCCAUGUUGUUGUUUGAUAUUUUAAAUUAAAAAUGCAGUGAAUAUAAGGUUGCCUAAAUGAUUACUGUUUUCUUGGUUAAAAAAAUAUUAAGUAUUCAAUGAACGAAUUGAUAUGAAUUCACCUAUUUAAAACAUUACAAAAUGAUUAUUCAUACAUAUAACCAGUUUUAGUAUAUAUAUUGACUCUUGCAGCAAGGGAGGCUGUUGUCAUGCUUAUGAUUUUGUAUGGAGUGAGAUUUUUUGCAUUAUUUGUACUAUCAUUUUUGUUGGCCAG